RNAcentral lists this ribosomal RNA (458 nucleotides) under uncultured Pseudomonas sp. RNAcentral's name for it is "bacterial SSU rRNA". It matches the Rfam family "Bacterial small subunit ribosomal RNA", at positions 30 to 480 of the family's 1533-position model. The record is from RNAcentral. Lineage: Bacteria; Pseudomonadati; Pseudomonadota; Gammaproteobacteria; Pseudomonadales; Pseudomonadaceae.
AUUGAACGCUGGCGGCAGGCCUAACACAUGCAAGUCGAGCGGCAGCACGGGUACUUGUACCUGGUGGCGAGCGGCGGACGGGUGAGUAAUGCCUAGGAAUCUGCCUGGUAGUGGGGGAUAACGCUCGGAAACGGACGCUAAUACCGCAUACGUCCUACGGGAGAAAGCAGGGGACCUUCGGGCCUUGCGCUAUCAGAUGAGCCUAGGUCGGAUUAGCUAGUUGGUGAGGUAAUGGCUCACCAAGGCGACGAUCCGUAACUGGUCUGAGAGGAUGAUCAGUCACACUGGAACUGAGACACGGUCCAGACUCCUACGGGAGGCAGCAGUGGGGAAUAUUGGACAAUGGGCGAAAGCCUGAUCCAGCCAUGCCGCGUGUGUGAAGAAGGUCUUCGGAUUGUAAAGCACUUUAAGUUGGGAGGAAGGGCAGUUACCUAAUACGUAUCUGUUUUGACGUACCG